RNAcentral lists this ribosomal RNA (403 nucleotides) under Fusobacteriota bacterium. Its description in RNAcentral is "Fusobacteria bacterium partial 16S ribosomal RNA". It matches the Rfam family "Bacterial small subunit ribosomal RNA", at positions 355 to 776 of the family's 1533-position model. The record is from RNAcentral. Lineage: Bacteria; Fusobacteriati; Fusobacteriota.
UGGGGAAUCUUGCACAAUGGGGGAAACCCUGAUGCAGCGACGCCGCGUGAGCGAUGAAGGUUUUCGAAUCGUAAAGCUCUGUCCUAUGGGAAGAUAAUGACGGUACCAUGGGAGGAAGCCCCGGCUAACUACGUGCCAGCAGCCGCGGUAAUACGUAGGGGGCGAGCGUUGUCCGGAAUUACUGGGCGUAAAGGGUUCGCAGGCGGCAUGGCAAGUCCGAUGUAAAAGGCGAAGGCUCAACCUUCGUAAGCAUCGGAAACUGUCAAGCUUGAGUGAAGGGGAGGCAAGUGGAAUUCCUAGUGUAGCGGUGAAAUGCGUAGAUAUUAGGAGGAAUACCGGUGGCGAAGGCGACUUGCUGGACUUCAACUGACGCUGAGGAACGAAAGCGUGGGUAGCAAACAGG